RNAcentral lists this ribosomal RNA (465 nucleotides) under uncultured bacterium. Its description in RNAcentral is "partial 16S ribosomal RNA". It matches the Rfam family "Bacterial small subunit ribosomal RNA", at positions 338 to 795 of the family's 1533-position model. The record is from RNAcentral.
CCUACGGGUGGCAGCAGUGGGGAAUUUUGCGCAAUGCUCGUAAGAGUGACGCAGCGACGCCGCGUGAAUGACGAAGGCCUUCGGAUCGUAAAGUUCUGUCGACAGGGAAGAAAAUGCCUAUAAGUAACUGUGUAUGUAUUGACGGUACCUGGUUAAGAAGCGACGGCUAACUCCGUGCCAGCAGCCGCGGUAAUACAGAGGGGGCGAGCGUUGUUCGGAAUGAUUGGGCGUAAAGAGGACGUAGGCGGGGUUGUAAGUCAUUAGGUAAAGACUCGGGCUCAACUUGAGUAAGGCUUGGGAUACUAGAAAACUAGAGUAUGAGAGAGGAAAGCAGAAUUCCUGGUGAAGCGGUGAAAUGCGUAGAUAUCAGGAGGAAUACCGUUAGCGAAGGCGGCAAUCUGGCUGGAAACUGACGCUGAGGUGCGAAAGCGUGGGGAGCAAACAGGAUUAGAUACCCCGGUAGUC